RNAcentral lists this ribosomal RNA (527 nucleotides) under uncultured bacterium. RNAcentral's name for it is "partial 16S ribosomal RNA". It matches the Rfam family "Bacterial small subunit ribosomal RNA", at positions 356 to 900 of the family's 1533-position model. The record is from RNAcentral.
GGGGAAUAUUGGACAAUGGGGGCAACCCUGAUCCAGCAAUGCCGCGUGUGUGAAGAAGGUCUUCGGAUUGUAAAGCACUUUCGACGGGGACGAUGAUGACGGUACCCGUAGAAGAAGCCCCGGCUAACUUCGUGCCAGCAGCCGCGGUAAUACGAAGGGGGCUAGCGUUGCUCGGAAUGACUGGGCGUAAAGGGCGUGUAGGCGGUUUACACAGUCAGAUGUGAAAUCCCCGGGCUUAACCUGGGAGCUGCAUUUGAUACGUGUAGACUAGAGUGUGAGAGAGGGUUGUGGAAUUCCCAGUGUAGAGGUGAAAUUCGUAGAUAUUGGGAAGAACACCGGUGGCGAAGGCGGCAACCUGGCUCAUUACUGACGCUGAGGCGCGAAAGCGUGGGGAGCAAACAGGAUUAGAUACCCUGGUAGUCCACGCUGUAAACGAUGUGUGCUAGAUGUUGGGUAACUUUGUUAUUCAGUGUCGCAGUUAACGCGUUAAGCACACCGCCUGGGGAGUACGGCCGCAAGGUUGAAAC